UUUGGCCAAGUGAUGGCUCUGCCUCCACUGAUGACACCUUAGAGGAAGGGAGAGGGGAGACCGCUGAGUCUCAGAGGGUAUGUGAGAGGUAAAAACAUACACUAGAAACGUGGGAUUAUUUUUCAGCGAGUGAUCAACGCUCAUCUGCAUUCCUGAGGAAACGGGUGAUGUGGGGGAUAAUCCAGAAAGGCAUGUUGUCUGAGAGGCACUGACAUUGGCCUUCUGAUAAAUGAUGAAACAGCUCCAGCCUCAGAUUUGUCCUCCUAAUUACAUUUGGCUCUGACCAAGAGGGAAAUGAAUCCACCUACCCUGUCACUCACCUGCCAGGUCUUCUGGAGGCCUGAUGAGCCUCAGGAAAGAGGGCCCUGUGUAAUUUGGGGAGAAGUGGCCCAUUUCAGAUAAUGUUUAAAAAGGUUGGAUAAUUAAGAGUUGGUAGAAAUACGGUAAUCUCCCUGGCAAGACUCCAUGCAACCGUCUCUGGUUCUGCAAGUGGACAGAAAGAAUACUGGGGCUAUUGCUUGGAAAACUCUGGCCCUUGAUCUUCCUUGACAAAGGCAACGUUUGAGAAGGGCCUUCAGGCCUGGCCCUCCUGUUCUAUGCUUCGUGGCUGGCACAUGGCUGAGCCCCAAGAAUUCCCCACGUCAGCAGCCAAAUUAACAGGAUCUCCUCUAACAUGUGUGAAAGCACCCAGCUCUGGGCCCGAGAAAGGAAACUGAGACCUAGACAGAUUAAAUGGUGUGCCCAAGAUCAUGUGCUGACUUGGUGGCCGAAGAAGGUUUAGAACCUGGAGAGCCGGACUCCUGGCCUGGAACCUACAUCUUCCUCUC
This is a long non-coding RNA of Acinonyx jubatus (cheetah), 827 nucleotides long. RefSeq lists it as uncharacterized. The transcript is spliced from 3 exons. The record is from RefSeq and is a predicted model, not a curated record. NCBI's taxonomy places the organism in Eukaryota, Metazoa, Chordata, Mammalia, Carnivora, Felidae.